CGAGGCACUUAAUGGCAAUUCCAAGAAGGGGCUGAAAGCUUACACCUGGGAUGCCUGUCACCAAGUCCCUUUGGGCAGUGACUUGAGCCACCUGGUGGGAGAGAUCCGAGCUUUGAGAGGGCAGCUGGAGCAGAGCAUUCAGGUGAACAACUGUCUGCGACUGCAGCUUGAACAGCAGUUGGAUGGUGGUGCCAGCAAAGCCAGCCUCAGCCCCUCCUCUGUUAACCAGAAAUUCCCCAACAACACUGACCCUGGAAACAAGCAGCUGCUCUUCCAAGAUUCAGUUGCCUC
Hippopotamus amphibius kiboko is the source of this 291-nucleotide long non-coding RNA. RefSeq lists it as uncharacterized. Lineage: Eukaryota; Metazoa; Chordata; Mammalia; Artiodactyla; Hippopotamidae. The transcript is spliced from 3 exons. The record is from RefSeq and is a predicted model, not a curated record.